UUAACACAUGCAAGUCGAGGGGCAGCAUGGUCUUUUCUUGCUAAGGCCGAUGGCGACCGGCGCACGGGUGAGUAACACGUAUCCAACCUGCCGUCUACUCUUGGACAGCCUUCUGAAAGGAAGAUUAAUACAAGAUGGCAUCAUGAGUCCGCAUGUUCACAUGAUUAAAGGUAUUCCGGUAGACGAUGGGGAUGCGUUCCAUUAGAUAGUAGGCGGGGUAACGGCCCACCUAGUCUUCGAUGGAUAGGGGUUCUGAGAGGAAGGUCCCCCACAUUGGAACUGAGACACGGACCAAACUCCUACGGGAGGCAGCAGUGAGGAAUAUUGGUCAAUGGGCGAGAGCCUGAACCAGCCAAGUACCGUGAAGGAUGACUGCCCUAUGGGUUGUAAACUUCUUUUAUAAAAGAAUAAAGUCGGGUAUGGAUACCCGUUUGCAUGUACUUUAUGAAUAAGGAUCGGCUAACUCCGUGCCAGCAGCCGCGGUAAUACGGAGGAUCCGAGCGUUAUCCGGAUUUAUUGGGUUUAAAGGGAGCGUAGAUGGAUGUUUAAGUCAGUUGUGAAACUUUGCGGCUCAACCGUAAAAUUGCAGUUGAUACUGGAUAUCUUGAGUGCAGUUGAGGCAGGCGGAAUUCGUGGUGUAGCGGUGAAAUGCUUAGAUAUCACGAAGAACUCCGAUUGCGAAGGCAGCCUGCUAAGCUGCAACUGACAUUGAGGCUCGAAAGUGUGGGUAUCAAACAGGAUUAGAUACCCUGGUAGUCCACACGGUAAACGAUGAAUACUCGCUGUUUGCGAUAUACUGCAAGCGGCCAAGCGAAAGCGUUAAGUAUUCCACCUGGGGAGUACGCCGGCAACGGUGAAACUCAAAGGAAUUGACGGGGGCCCGCACAAGCGGAGGAACAUGUGGUUUAAUUCGAUGAUACGCGAGGAACCUUACCCGGGCUUAAAUUGCAGAUGAAUUACGGUGAAAGCCGUAAGCCGCAAGGCAUCUGUGAAGGUGCUGCAUGGUUGUCGUCAGCUCGUGCCGUGAGGUGUCGGCUUAAGUGCCAUAACGAGCGCAACCCUUGUUGUCAGUUACUAACAGGUUCCGCUGAGGACUCUGACAAGACUGCCAUCGUAAGAUGUGAGGAAGGUGGGGAUGACGUCAAAUCAGCACGGCCCUUACGUCCGGGGCUACACACGUGUUACAAUGGGGGGUACAGAGGGCCGCUACCACGCGAGUGGAUGCCAAUCCCCAAAACCUCUCUCAGUUCGGACUGGAGUCUGCAACCCGACUCCACGAAGCUGGAUUCGCUAGUAAUCGCGCAUCAGCCACGGCGCGGUGAAUACGUUCCCGGGCCUUGUACACACCGCCCGUCAAGCCAUGGGAGCCGGGGGUACCUGAAGUGCGUAACCGCGAGGAGCGCCCUAGGGUAAAACUGGUGACUGGGGCUAAAU
This 1434-nucleotide ribosomal RNA is filed under the name uncultured bacterium. Its description in RNAcentral is "bacterial SSU rRNA". It matches the Rfam family "Bacterial small subunit ribosomal RNA". The record is from RNAcentral.